AUUUUAGAAUUUUAGAAUUUUAGACAAACACACACACAUCUCCCACUAUAUGACAUUAGUCCGUGUAGAGUGUCAGUGUUUCCAACGCGCUACGAAAACAAAAGGUAAAUUUUAGAAAUAUUCCAUAAAACAAAUCAAAAGUUUUAAUUUUAUUUAUUUUUUAUCGUUGCGGAAUAUCUGAACGGUAUCCCGUUUUCGCGUCUCGUUUUCUCUGCACGUCCCCAAAAAAGCUCAGUCGUCCGUCAUCGCCUGUCAUCAAAACACGUUGAAACGUUUCUUGUCAAAGUGCCCGAGUGUCCAGCUGAAAUGGACCGUUUUUUAAACAUUGGCCACUGUCCUGGUCCCGGUCUUUGUUCCGUUGGUCAAGAUCUGCGUGUGUUUGAACGAAAAACAGUUUCUAAUCGAUCGAUUUUCGAUGCGUCGUUCUCGCAGGAGCGUCUGAAACUCCCGGAGUUGCAGGCUGUGGUCUGCCUUCACAGAUUCCAAAGGCGGACGUUGUUUUUGUUUUCCCCGGGGACACGGCGAUGACCGGCCGAAACUGGAAUUGGUCCGUUUUCAAGCUCAGUGGGACCGUGGUAUCUGGGAGAAUCUUCUUCGAGGGAAUGUUAUUGUAAAAGAUUGUGCAUUGUAAUUACAUGUAAUAUUACGAAUAAAGUCAAAUUUUGUGUUGUA
Long non-coding RNA from Culex pipiens pallens (northern house mosquito), 672 nucleotides. RefSeq lists it as uncharacterized. The record is from RefSeq and is a predicted model, not a curated record. The transcript is spliced from 2 exons. Lineage: Eukaryota; Metazoa; Arthropoda; Insecta; Diptera; Culicidae.